CAUUUGUUUUUGGUGGUUACGAUUUGAGCAAAGCGAAGUUCUCUGUUUCCACCCAAAACCAUGUUCUCCUUGGUGAUUUCAGUGUUCAAAACGCUUCUCUUGUCAAAGAAUUUUCAGUAAAUAUAACUUCAGAUAGCCUUGUUAUUACCUUCACCCCUUCCAACAAUUCAUUUGCAUUCUUAAAUGCCAUAGAAGUUGUUUCAGUCCCCGACCAACUGAUCACUGAUGAUGCCUACACUGGGUCAGUGAAAUUCCAGGGUUUGACGACUCAGGCUUUGGAGACAUCUUGGAGGGUGAAUAUGGGUGGACCAACAGUGUCCUUUGAGAAUGAUACCCUGUGGAGAACUUGGGUUCCUGAUCAAAGUUUUCUAGUAAAUGCGAACCUUGCCAAAGAUGUCUCAAAUAUUGCAGCUGUUAACUAUGAUGCGGGUUCGGCAUUGGCAACCAAGGAUAUUGCUCCACAAACCGUCUAUGGAACCCUCACUGAGAUGAAAUCCGCGGAUGAUCCCAACAGCAAUUUCAAUGUGAGCUGGGAGUUCACAGUGGAUCCAGGAUUUCAGUACCUUGUUCGGUUUCACUUUUGUGAUGUAGUAAGUAAAUCUCUCUAUCAGCUGUACUUCAAUGUAUAUCUUGACUCUUUGAUUGUUGCUCGAGAUCUUGAUCUGAGUACUUUAGCAACUAAUAAGUUGGCUGUGCCAUAUUAUACGGAUUAUGUCACAACAUCUGCUGCUGUCAGCAAUAAGCUUCGUAUUAGUAUUGGCCCUUCCCCUUUAAAUAAUGCUUAUCCCAAUGCCAUUCUAAAUGGGCUUGAGAUUAUGAAAUUGAACAAUUCAGCAGGCAGCCUCAGUGGAGCAAACUCUCUAGUUCCUUCUUCAAAUUCAAGUUCAAAAGGUAACGUCGGAGUAAUAGUAGGUGCCAGCAUUGGGUCAUUUAUUGCAGUGGUAUUGGCUGCGAUUCUCUUUGUUCUUUGCAGAAGGAAAAGACUGGCAGACCAGGGCCAUUCUAAGACAUGGCUUCCCUUUUCCAUUAAUGGAACCAAUUCUCACACCAUGGGAAGUAAAUACUCAUAUGGAACAACUGCUAGUGCUGCUUCUAACUAUAGCUAUCGUUUUCCUUUUGGGGUUGUACAAGAGGCUACAAAUAACUUUGAUGAGAGUUGGGUUAUUGGAAUUGGUGGUUUUGGGAAGGUAUACAAAGGAGUCUUAAAUGAUGGAACUAAAGUGGCUGUCAAGAGGGGAAAUCCACGGUCUCAACAGGGACUUGCAGAGUUCAGGACUGAAAUUGAGAUGCUAUCUCAAUUCCGUCACCGCCAUCUUGUCUCAUUGAUUGGGUAUUGUGAUGACAAGAGUGAGAUGAUUCUGAUAUAUGAAUAUAUGGAGAACGGAACCCUGAAGAGUCAUCUCUAUGGCUCAGGUUACCCCAGCUUAAGUUGGAAGCAAAGGCUUGAAGUAUGCAUUGGAUCAGCUAGAGGACUUCACUACCUUCACACUGGCUAUGCAAAAGCAGUUAUUCAUCGUGAUGUGAAAUCUGCAAAUAUUCUGCUUGAUGAAAACCUCAUGGCCAAGGUUGCUGAUUUUGGGCUUUCCAAGACGGGGCCUGAAAUCGAUCAAACCCAUGUCAGUACAGCAGUAAAAGGGAGUUUUGGAUACCUUGAUCCUGAAUAUUUUAGAAGGCAACAACUGACAGAGAAAUCAGAUGUGUAUUCAUUUGGGGUGGUUUUGUUUGAGGUCCUUUGUGCAAGACCUGUUAUAGAUCCGUCCCUUCCAAGGGAAAUGGUGAACUUGGCUGAAUGGGCAAUGAAAUGGCAGAAGAAGGGGCAGUUGGAGCAAAUAAUAGAUUCUACCCUUGCAGGAAAAAUCAGACCAGAUUCUCUCAGGAAAUUUGGAGAAACCGCCGAGAAAUGCUUGGCUGACUAUGGUGUUGACAGGCCCUCCAUGGGAGAUGUGUUGUGGAAUCUAGAGUAUGCCCUUCAACUUCAAGAGGCAGAAAUUCCAGGUGAUGCUGAAGAAAAUAGUACCAAUAUGAUUGGCGAGCUAUCCCCGCAAGUCAACAACUUCAAUAAUGUUGACGCAAAUGAUUCUGCUGCACAGUUUGAAGUCUCAAGUGUGGAUGAUCUUUCAGGUGUUUCUAUGAGUAGAGUAUUCUCACAGCUGGUGAAGUCUGAGGGUAGGUGAUUUUUCUGAGAGAGUUCUAUGAGUUUUAGCUUCUCUUCUGGUAACACUGCUUUUGUGGAGUUUCCUGAUGAAACUUGAUGAAGCAUUCUGAGUUCUCCUUUUGUACAGAAGGGGUGGUGGUUUGAGUGUGUUUUUUAGAUUCAUAAGGAUUUUUAUGUAACGUGUUUAUUUCUUAUUGAUAUUCCACACCAUAUGAAGCAAAAGUUCUGGGGUGGGAUGGUUUUUGUACGCUCUCCUUCUCACAGCUAUCUAUCACGAGGCAUUCGUAUGAUGAAGUGAUUGUGAGAAGAAGGCAUAUACGUGUCCCACUCAAGACUUUCUCCAUAUGGAAGCUGGUAAAAGGUUUAUUUAAUUUUUACUACUGUAUUGGUAUUUUAGUGUCAUGAGUGAAUUGAACAGGAUGUUUGGUUGAUAAAUGGAGAAAGGAAAAUGGAAUACCAGAACCAACGACAAAAUGGAAACUAAAAUAAAGUAAGAGAGAGUAGAGUAGCUUCAGUUUUUCUAGCCGAAAUGGUCAAAACUGUCCAUUUGUCUGGACGAAAAAAUUGAACAUUGCGUUGAAUUGCAUUGAAUUCUUAAAUAGUGUUGUUAUUUCCACUCCCUGUCCUAUUUCCCAACCUAUCUUAUUUUUUUAUCCAUCAUAUAAAUUUGAAAAAUCCAAAUUCUAUUUUUCCACUAACCAUAAUUCCUAAAAUACUCAUUCAUUAUUAAUUCAAGCAAAACCUAUAUAAUAUUUAUAAAUUAAAAAAACGUAAAAAAUAAUCCACCCCAACCCCACCUCCCCAAUGCUGCCACUUGUACCUAUGGAAAACAGCCCUCUCUCUGUAAAGGUUGCAUAAAAGUGAUAAUUGGAAUUAGAUCGAAAUUGCAGUGAAAGAAGAGUGCAUAGAAAGACAACCAAUUGGAAGCACAAUUUGGAAUUGCAGUCAGUUUGUGGUCUGAUAUCCAAGAAAGACACUGAAGAUAUAUACUCUGUCUAACCCACAAUCAAAGAGCUAUUGCCAGCAACCUUCUUCCCACCAGAUUAGCAAUUAAGGUACCAUUUAACUAAUUUCUCCAACCAUUUUUGCAUAUUUGUUGUGGGCUUGUUAGAUGGCAUGAAAUGUUUGCUGGGGUAAAUAGAACCCCCCAUAUAACGAAGAAGAAGUUAAAGAAAAGCUUUGCUGGAAAAGAAUUCAAUCCCAUUUCUUCUAUUUUUUAUCCCAUGUUUUUCAAAUUCGAGGAAAACGCCGUUGGCGUUGGCCUUCUGAAAAUAUUCUGUUUAAAAAAAAGGGUAAAUGGUCAUUUUACAAAAGUAAAUUUGUCUUUAAAAUUUUGAACAUAAAGUGAGUGAGGAAAUAGGAUAGAUGAGUGGAAAUAGCAGCACUCUUAGAGUAUUUUAUUUUAAGAAAACCUUUCGGACCUAAUAUAUCAUAACUACCUCUCUAUAAUUGUUCGAUCAGUUUUGUUUCUUUCAACUAGCUGGCCUCUCUUAAAUGGUUUUCGUUGUUGUAAAAUAUACAGUUUUCAUGGGUUUUUUUUUCUUUACUUUCUAGUAAGUUUGAAGGAGACCUGAAAGUUGAUAGUUCAUUCCAAAGCCAUGGAGGAGGCUAUCCUGUGCACACUCCAACAAGUAGAAGAUGUCAAAAAAGCGUGUUUAAAUAAAGUUGGCUAGUUUUGCACAUUUUCUUACUCUGCUAUUAUUCGAGAGCUGCUGAACAUGAUGAUGCGGAAUAUAGCUGCUUCUUCUUCUUCUUCUUGUUAUUGCUGGAGCAGCAGAGGUAUGAAUUGUCUUCACUCUAUAGAGGUAAAGACCUUCUGACUAGGUGGAUGAUAACACCAGUAUCCUUUCUGAUGAGGUGCAUAGCCAAUAAAAACACACUUUUCUGCUCGGGGAUCCAAUUUGCUUCGUUGGUGAUCAUGUAAGUGGACAAAUACAACACAGCCGAAAAUUCGGGGUUCUAGGUUUGGGGUGGGAGGUGUUUGGAUAUUGUGGUGAAGUGUUUGAAGUGGUGUUUGGAAAUUUAGGAUACUAGAGGGAAUUCGAUUGAUAAGGUAUAUUGCAGAGACGACGGCUUCGCCCCAAAAAUAUCUUGGCAUAUUGGCACCAAAGAGAGAGGCACGAACGACUUCCAAUAAGUGUAUGUUCUUUCUUUCAGCCACCCCAUUCUGUUGGGGAGUGUAAGGGCAUGAGCGUUGAUGUAUGAUGCCAUGAUCUUGUAAGAACUGGUUGUAAGAACUGUUUAAGAUCAUGGUUGAGAAAUUCUCCGUCAUUAUCAAAACGAAGAACCUGAAUUCUGGCAUGAAACUGAGUCUCCACCAUUUGAUAAAACUGUGAAACCUAGAAUUGACUUCCCCUUUAGCUUUGAGAAGGGAAACCCAAGUCAUUCGUGUACAAUCAUCUAUAAACGUGACAAACCAUCGCGCCCUUGAGGGAGUGACAAUUUUAGCAGAUCCCCAAACAUUAGAAUGAACGAGAGAAAAAGGAACCAAACUCUUAUUUGAACUUAAUGGGAACGGGACACGAUGACUCUUAGCCAAUUCACACGUAUCAUACUGAAAGCUGUAAACAUCAAGAUCGGAAAAUAAUGAUGGAAACAACUUCUUAAGAUAACCGAACGAGGCAUGCCCAAGACGUUUAUGCUAUAACCAAAUUUUGUCUCUCUCCUCCUCAGAACGAGUUCCACUGGUUGUGAAAGCUUGACCAACCUUGACCUCACUAUCCGAUGCCCAAUCCAAGUAGUAGAGAUUGCCCCGCCGAGUACCACAACCAAUCGUCUUUCCUGUGAGGAUGUCCUGAAAAACACAAUGAUUCGGCCAAAAUGUUACAGUACACCCCAAAGUAGUAGUAAGUUGUGCAACAGAUAACAAGUUAUGAUUUAAGGAUGCAACAAGUAAUACAGAAAGAUAGAAAGCCCUCCUCAACCACAGGGGAUGGGGUAGCAUUAGCAUUAGACAUCACUGACAGAGUGGAUUAUUUUUGACUAAUAAGUUGGCCAGGAUCAAAUGUCAUAUGAUCCGUAGCACCCGAGUCGAUAAUCCAUGCGGAUUUUUGAAAGGACGUAUGAAAAGUAGAACCUUUGGUGGUGGCGAUAGAAGCAUGAGUUAGGGUAGCUGGGUUAGCAGAAUUGACCGCAUGCUUCUGUGAGUCCACAAUAAAGGGGAGAAUCGUAGGGGUUCCUGACAUCGCAGCGGAAGUAAGAUGUGAUAUGAAAAUGUGAAGAAUUGUGUUUGGAGGAAUUUGAUUUGAAGAGUUUGAUGUAUGAAUUUGAUGGAGGACUUAGAUUUGAGAGGUAUGUGUAUAAGAUUUGAGGGUAUGUGUUUAGGGAUUUUGAUAAGAGGAUUUGAGGGAUUUGGAUUUGGGGAAAAAUAUGAGGAAUUUGAUUUAGAGUUUUGGAUUUGAAUAUGAGAAAUUUGAGAUAAGGGUUUAGAGACAACCUAGGAUCGAUUGCUCUGAUACCAUGCUACAAUAUGAAUAUGGUUUGAAUUAAUGUAUUAGGUUGAGUUUUAUUCUUCUCCAUAAGGAGGUAUAUAUAGGAGUUUACAUGAGGGUUUUAUAAGGAAUUAGAUAUAGUAAAGAAUUAGGAAAGUAUCUCCUAAUUGUACAAUGAUUUAUCACUUAUAUAAAAAUAGGAAAGUAAAUCCCUUAAUUAAUCAAGGAAGUAAAUCUCCUUGAUUAAUUAGGAGACUCACGUCAACAGUUUGUUCUUAAAAGAAUGGGCCUUUCGUAAACUUUAAUUUUUGUGAUUACCAAUCCUUAAACGUUGUUUAGUAGGUUUUAAUUAAUUAAUUUUUUUGGUUGAAAAAUUUCCAAAUACACACAAUAUUCAACAACUUGAUCAGUGUAUCAAGCUCUUCAUGUCAUAAAAACAUGUAUACCGAGGGUUUGAAUUCCUCACUUUCCGUACUCAUCAACUAAUUCACCAGUGUUAAUAAUUUGUUCAUAGAAUUCGACUUAAAAUAUAUAUACAUAUACAGUUCCUUAAAAAAAAAAAUAUUCAAAUUCAGUCUUACUCCUAAGUGGAUUGAUGAUAAAUUUUUGAAAUAGAAUCCAAACAUUUGAAAAUAAAAAGAAAACCAGUCAUAGAAAAAUUGUUGAAGCAAGUUUAGAAAGUUUUAAGAAAUUUAAACCAACGAAACAUGUUAUUAAUGGCCCAUUCACCAACUUGAUCAGUGUAUCAAGCUCUUCAUGUCAUAAAAACAUGUAUACCAAGGGUUCAAAUUUCUCACUUUCCGUACUCAUCAACUAAUUCACUAGUGUUAAAGUUUAAUUAUUUGUUCAUAGAAUUCGACUUAAAUUAUAUAUGCAUAUACAGUUCCUUAAAAAAAAAAUAUUCAAAUUCAGUCUUACUCCUAAGUGGAUUGAUGAUAAAUUUUUGAAAUAGAAUCCAAACAUUUAAAAAAUAAAAAGAAAACCAGUCAUAGAAAAAUUGUUGAAGCAAGUUUAGAAAGUUUUAAGAAAUUUAAACCAACGAAACAUGUUAAUAGUGGCCUAUGCAGGUCUCGAACCUGCGACCUUCGCGUUAUUAGCACGACGCUCUAACCAACUGCGCUAAUAGGCCAAUUGAUCUUUCCUAAUUCCAAUAUGUUUUUAAAUUAUAGACUCUCUUUGAUACAUAGAUCUCAUUUAAGAAUUUUUCAUGUCUCCACUCCCAUUGCGUUUUGUUUUUGUUUUUAUUUUAUUAUUAUUUUUAAAAUUUGUACUUCUUUUGUGAAAUUGUGUUUGGUUGCUUGCAUAAUUCAGGAAGAAUGUAAGCAUUUCGUUUUGAUUUUUUUUUUUGUUUGUUUUUCUUUGGGCGUAGGUAGAUAUAAUUGCGAUUGAUGUCUCAGACAAGUUACCUUUUCGUUUGAAGAUGCCCAUGGUUAAAGCUGUAAUUGAAGUUUUUUUUUUUUUUUGGUCGAAAGGAUACUUCCAUACAAAGCCCCAAAAGAGGCAACAGAAACACAAAGGGGCUAAAACAGCCACCAGGGAAAACAGCAUGGCACACCUGUAACCAAACUAAAUUACAGAGCAGCAGCCAAAGGAAACAGAGCGAAACAAAACCGUAGCCAUUGCCCAGCAAGACCCUUAUGGGGGAGCAGGUAGUCCAUCCCCUGAGAGGACAGAGACCAAGGAGGGUGGGGGGGUAUUAACCCAAUUGCAAACGCACAACCUCUUUUUGGCUAGCUUGGCGGCAGCAUCAGCAGCUCCGUUAGCUUCACGACGAAUCCAAUUCUAGUCACAUUGGAUGAAGGACGCUUCCAGGCUGCGGAAUUCCGCGAGGAAAAGGUAGAAUCUCCAGUUACCAGAUGCUGAACCCUUCUUUACACAAGAAACUAGCUCAGAGUAGUCAGUCUCCACAACCACAUUCUGCACGUGAAGGGAGGAGGCAAAAGAGAGGCCCAUGAUCGCUGCACUAGCUUCACAUUCAGCCGCAGACGAACAAUUGCAUGGUUGACUAGCGGCACCGAUGAAGGAGCCGUUAUGAUCGCGAAUAACCGCUCCAAUACCCCCCACACCCGUUUUAGCCUCCCAAGCCCCAUCAAUAUUGAUCUUUACAAAAGGGAAGGGAGGAGGAGUCCAGUGUGGUCUAAUUGGUGCAUGCAGAGUAGCUUGGGGGGCACUGGAAGUCAUGUUCCUGACCCGCACAACUUCCUCUAAACCUUUCAUGGUUCGUGAGAGAACCAGGGGAGGAGAGGGCCGGAUAUCAUUGAAAAUCGCCUUACAUCGAGCCUUCCAAAUUUCCCAAGAGCAGAACAUGAAGAGGGAAAUUCCCCAGUCCCUUUGAUCUCCAUCGGCAAAAGAGCUUCUUAGGAAGCUAGAAAGCCAAGAAUCCAGUGUGGUAAUGGAUGCCAGGUUCGGAGCGUAACCAAAAGGGCAGCCAAACCAUACUGCCCGCGUCCAAGAACAAAGCAGUAACAGGUGCUCCACAGUCUCAGGAAACAAACCACACAAGCGGCACGUAGGAGAACGCGCUAACUUUCUUCCAAAGAGGUUAGCACACGUAGGAAUGGAGUUUGUUAACGCACGCCACAUAAAGUUCCUGAUUUUGGGAGUGAUGUGAGCCCUCCAGAUAACUUUCCACACGUCGGAAUUCACUGCAUGGGAGGAAGAAGCUCGAUCACAGGGGUCAGGAGGCGAGACGUUGAUGGCAUGGUAGUACCCGGAUUUAACAGUAUAGUCACCAUUCUUUACCGCCGGCCACACUAGAGGGUCACGAGUAGCCAGGGAGCCGAUAGGAGUAGAUCGGAUUAACAUAGCCUCGCUAGGAGGAAUAAAGGGCUCAAUGUGUGAGAUGUUCCAGGACCUGUUCCCCACAUCGAUGAGAUCGGCCACCAGCAGGGGGGUGAAGCGGUUACUGGAGGGGAGGGGGGAGAUUUUUCCGGAGCCAUACCCCAUUAACCAGCGGUCCUUCCACACACUCACUGAACGGCCGUUUCCAAUUUGCCAGUAAGCUCCCUUCUCGAUGAUAUCUCGACCGACUAGGAGGCUGCUCAAAGCCCAUGACGCACGCCCUCCCUUCUUAGCAUCGAGGAAGGAACACUCGGGGAAGUAGCGGGCCUUUAAAAUCCUAGCCCAAAGAGCAUUCGGGUUGCGCAUGAUUCGCCAACAUUGCUUGGCAAGUAGGGACCGGUUGAAAGCCUGUAAAUCGAGAAAUCCCAUGCCCCCUCCGCUUUGGGUCUGCAGAGUUUCUUCCAAGAGUGCCAAUGGAUUUUGCCCUGGUUACCAUCAUGGCCCCACCAGAAUCUCGCCAAAUCAGUGUUUAUUGAAUUGCAUAUAGUGGCUGGCAGCAAGAAGCAAGACAUGGGGUGGGCCGGGAUAGCUGCAGCCACCGAUUUGAUAAGGACCUCCCUGACCGCUUGAGAUAAUAGCUUUAGCUUCCACCCAGCAAUCUUCGAAUUUAUUCUGUCCCGAACAUAGGCCAAGGCCUCCACCUUAGAGCGGCCCUAGAAAGUAGGGAGACCCAGAUAAGGACCCGGGUCAUCGGUAGCAGGGACGCCAAGGAUGAGGCCGAACUGAUUCCUAGUCCCAGUAUCAGUGUUGGGAGAGAAGUACAGACUGGAUUUGUUAAAAUUCACCUCCUGACCCGACGCCGAGCAGUAGCAUUCGAUAAUGGACUUAAGAGCCGAGCAGUUCGGAGGAGUAGCUUGUAGAAAAAACAGAGAGUCGUCUGCAAAGAAUAGGUGGGAUAAUUCCGGACCACCCCUGCUUAAUUUAAUGCCCCUAAGCAUCCCAGUAUCAGUAGAAUUGAUAAUAUUUAGAGAAAGAACCUCGGAGACAAGAAGAAAAAGAUAGGGAGAUAAGGGAUCUCCUUGUCUCAGGCCCCUCGAUGGGGAAAAGGGACUGCCAGGGGAACCAUUCAAUACCAGAGAGAAAGUGAUAGUUUUGACACAUAGCAUGACCAGCUCCACCCAACGGUUGUCGAAGCUGAACUUACAAAGAGUGGCCUCAAGGAAAUCCCAUUCGACCCGGUCGUAUGCCUUAUUCAUGUCCAGUUUCAGUCCCAGCUCAAAGGAUUUCUUGGAAGACUUAAGACGGAGAUAAUGGAAAGCCUCGUGGGCCAAUAAAAUAUUGUCUUGUAUCUGCCGUCCCGGGACAAAGGCAUUCUGAUGCUGACUUAUCAGCAUAGGGAGAAGGGUCUUGAGACGAUUUGCCAGUAGUUUAGACAGAAUCUUAUACGAGUUGUUGCAUAAACUAAUAGGUCGAAAAUGGUUUACCGACGUUGGCUUGGGAAUCUUUGGGAUGAGGACAAUAUGAGUGUGAUUUAGGAGCUCCAAUCUGCUAUUGCCUAAGAAAAAAUCUGUAACCAAGUUAUUAACAAAAUUUUGAAUAAUUUCCCAGAAGCGAUCAUAGAAGAGGCCAGGGAAGCCAUCCGGACCAGGCGCUUUCAAGGAACCGAGCUGUUUGACUGCAGUUCGGACUUCCUCCAUCGAGAAGGGAUCGGUUAACCUUUUGUUUUGGGCUUCGGUGAUGCUAGCAUGAACGCAAUUUAGAAUACCUCCCCAGUUUCUAGGACCCCCAGACUUGAACAGGUUACCAAAGAAAAUGCCAAACUCCUCCCUGAUCGCUUGGUCUCCACUUAUGCAAUUUCCUUCCGAUUUCAAUAAGGUUUCUAUUUUGUUUCGUUGUCUGCGUUGUAGGGUUGUGGUAUGGAAAAACUUCGUGUUUGCGUCACCCGCCGACAACCAGUUCAACCUCGAGCGCUGUUUCCAGUAAGUUUCCUCCCUGCUCCACAAGACGGACAUUUCGUCCCAAAUGGCUGAUUCCUGGUGUCGAUAAUUUUCCUCAAGUGGCCCCGACUGGAGAUUACUCAGACUUUUCAUCAAGAGGUUUAUGCGAGACAGGUUGUUUGGAAAUUUUUCUUUGCUCCAUUUCUGGAGCUCCUCUCUACAAACACCAAGAUUAGCCGACAGAGCAGCAAAAGAAUCCCCAACAAUGUCAUUCUUCCAGCCCCUCUGGAUGAUGGUUCCACAAUCGUGUUCAUCAGCCCAGUAAGCUUCAAACUUAAAACCUCCUGCUCGCCUCUGAAUUUUUGGAGCAAAGUAAAGCACCAGAGGGGAGUGGUCAGAGCCAACCCUGGGCUCCACAUGCACACACAAGUCCGGCCACAAAAAGAGCCAUUGGUCAUUGAUAAGCCCACGGUCCAGUUUCAUUCGAAUGAGUGAGACUGGGUCAUGUUGAUUCUCCCAAGUGUAGAAUUGGCUCGUCGAUCUUAAUUCCAGCAAUCCAUUAGUGUCCAUAAAGGAUCGAAGAUAUCGAGUACGGCCCCAAGGCCAAGGUAUGCCGCCUUCUUUUUCGUCGUUUCCUAAUAUCUCAUUCAUAUCUCCGAUACAGAGCCACGGGGGGGAGUCGACCAUAGCAAAGUUUGCCAAGUUUUCCCAAAAGGAUGCUUUUUCCUCCCGAUAUGGGGGGGCCAUACACCCAAGAGAUUCUGUAUUGGGUGCCCUUCUCCCUGCAAUUCACGAUCGUAUCCACCAUAUUCUUGUUCGAUGUCAAGAUUUCGACCUCCACUUAUGGUUUCCACCAGAGGGCCAAACCUCCUGCUAACCCCACAGGAUCAACAUAAAUACCCUUAUAAUAACCACACUGUCGCCUGAGUGAAGUCACUCUAUGGCAGUUCUGUUUUGUCUCCAUAAGAAAUACCAUAGAGGGGACGUGGGAGCGAAUGAGCUCCCUAAGCUUCUGGACUGUCAAGGCACGCCCCAGGCCCUGACAGUUCCAAGCAAGGUGGCUCAUUUAGGACCUGUGGCUGCUCUGGGCCAGCCACCACAGCCCUGGAGGUGGGAUUGCCCCUCCACAUUUUUCUCCGGUUCUUGGGUAGUAGAUGCAUCAUCGUUCACAGUGAGCUCAUCAAUAAAUUCCACCCUUAUUUCUCUGAAAUUCCCCUGGUUUAGGUCCAUAGUGUCGGGAAUAUCCUCCCAAUAUCUCCCGCUUCUCCCCGUUGCUCAUUUUCCUCGUCCCCUAUUUCCCUUACCUCUUCCUCUUCCACGGUUCCAGUUGCCGCCGACCCGAGUAGGGACCGCCACCAGACUAGUAGAAUCGACAACUGGGUUGUCGUGAUAAUGGAGAAUUCAAACUUUACUCGUUCUGAGUCCCUCCUCGUAGGGGUGAGAGAGUGCACGUCUUUUUUUUGAGAUGGGUGGGAGAGUAUCCUGUUUGAAUGUAUAUGGUUCUUCGGGUGAUGAUAUAAUAAGCUGGCCCCUAGAGUCAGAUGGCAAAGGGCUCUUCCCUUUUUCUUUAUGUGCACUUGGGCCGCAAGGAGUCCGGUCCAUCCACACCAUAGGUGUGGACCGGUCCCUUGGAUGCAUGGGUGUUGGGCCAGUCACGCAUAAGGCCUUGGGGCCCCUUACAGUGCUCUUGGAAGAAUCCCGCUCCUCCUCUAGCUGGCAUUUGGAGGGUUGGGCCUGGCCCAUAUUCGGGUUCCAUCCCCUAUGUGUAAGCGCUACAACCAUCGCCCGUUCAUAGGCAUUUGUGCUGGGAAAGUCAGCGGGCAACAACCUUUGUUUCAAAACCUCGGAGCUAGGUGUCUCACGAUACAGAAGGGACAGAGAUUUUGAAAUGCAUUCGUUAAGGUGGGCAGAGCCUGUAGUCUCAGAGGUGUCAGAUGGCAAAGCAGACCUAGGAUCAGCGUGCACAGUAGGAGAGGUGUGCAGGGGCGCAGCAUCAGAGUUGUCACCAUCGAAAGAUAGGGGCAGGUCAACUGACAUCGAGGUCAACGGUUGACUCAUGGCCUCCACCGAGCACGUUGUCGUCACGUGGCAACUCCAUGCGCUGCGGGUGGGCAAUGGUCUCCUCCGGCCUGUAAGAUUCCGCCUUCCCGUUGAUGAUGGAGGAACCACCGGGGGCAGGCGUCUCUUCAUCCACGGUCCGUACCAUGGGUUCUCCGACAAGGUUGGGCUGCUCUCAGGACUUCCUCUGCAAGCAUUCUCGCAGUGCCCCAGUAAACCACAAAUAUAGCAAAAGUCUCCAAGGCCUUCAUAGCAAUACUCCACCUGGAAAGAUUGGUGGGAAGUUCUGGGGAGCCAGAAUCCCGUCGGGAAAGGUUUGCGUGAGUCGAUGAGCACCUUUACUCGUAGGUAGCCCCUGGUUAUGGCCUUGCUCUUUAUCGGAUCUUCCACUUCAAUAACUUCACCAAUUUCUUCCCCGAUGGUUUUGGCAUUUUUUGCAUUCAUCUUCUCCAAGGUGAGACCCGAAAUCUGGACCCAAUACGGGAUAAGAUGCACCAGAACCUCCUCGAUGUUCAGCUGGGGGGGCCAGGCCACCACGUUGAAGCAGAAGUUCAUUAUGUUCUAGGGAGCCCCCUCCAGAAUAAGUGUGGCCACCUCCCUAGAGGAGGUGAUUGUGAAAAUGUUCCGUUUAUAGUGAGAAAUGGAGAUAGCGCCCAAUCUUCCCCAUGCUGAUCUCAGGGCCCCAUUAAUCCCACCAAUAUUUGGCAGCACGUCUGCAAUAAUCGCUCCCACCAGAAUACAUUCCCUAUUAACGUCGUCCAAGUCAAAGGAAUCCUCCAACCGUGAGGCCAGGGAGUCGGCUGUGGGGUGGACAUGAGUCAUUGAGAAAGAAGCUCGGACAGCAAGAAGCGGUGUGGGGCUGGGACACUUUGUCAACAGCCAGCAGACAGAGAGGAAAAACACCUGACGGAAGGGACACCAGUAGGGUGUAAGCUGAAGAGUUAAGGGGUGAGGAAGAGCUACCAAAAAGGUAGAGCCAAACAGAUUUUCCUACCACUUGGGUAGAGCUCGCUGCAAUUGAAGUUUGAUCUCAGAGAUUUUGUUUGCUUCCUUAUUUCAAUUUAUUUAAUUACAUGGUAAGAAUUUAAAUUGAUUGGCUAUACGCUAAUAUCAUUGCCGAUGAUCAAGCAAGAAAGCAAAUAAUAACCAAUGCUAAGGUGAGGAUUUGUAAAGUUAAUUGGGAAAUAGCUUAAAAUGACACCCAUUUCAUAAUUUUAAUUAAAAAUACCACCCCUUCCCAAUUUUUGUACAACUAUCACCUAUAAAUAUAAAAUUAUUGUCCACUUAUUGCUGAUUUUUCACAAGUUCAGAAAUUUUGUUCUCUCUUAGCUCACACAGCUCUCUCUCUCUCUCUCUGGCACAUCUCUCUUUCUCUUUGGUAUCUGUCUAUCACAGCGCUCUGUGUCUCUCUUGGCUCUCUCUCUGUCUAGCACAACUCUCUGUCUCUUUCUUUGCUCUCUUUCUCAUAGCGCAGCUGUUUCUCGCUCUAGCUUCGUUAUGUCUCUUUCUCCCCUAUUCGAUCUCUUGCUCUCUGUUUGGAAUUGCGAACCCCUCCCUUUAGCUAUGUCUUCUGAAUAGCUGCUUGCAACCUUGAAGCUCUAGUGGAUUGCCGACCUCGAAAAGGUAGUGUUGAUGGUUAUUUUCUUAAUAUCAGUGGGAUUAUGUGAAAUGGGUUAUAGUUUGAUUGUUUGGGUUUGUGUUAAAUUCGUUUUGGCUUUAAUUUCUUUGGGUUAGGUUUUGUUGAAUAUUCAUGCUCAUUCAUCUGGGUUUGUACCAAUUGCAUUUAGAUUGGUCUGGAUAUGUGAAUCUUGAAACUUGGGAUUUUUCAUUUGAUGUAGUAGAUCUGUAUAGUGUGAUUCUGAUGUGUUACUGGUGUACUGCUGUUGUGUUCCUCUUAUUUUACAGUCGUAUUGCUGUUAUAUUGCCAUUAUAUUGCUGCUAUAUUGCUGUUAUAUUGUGGUUAUAUUGCUAUUGUAUUGUAUGGUUAUUGUGGUUAUAUUGUGUUAAUGAAAUGUUGUUUUGUCAUGGUCAGAAAUGGAGACAAUUGUUAUUCUCGUGUGCUACAAUGGAAAAUGGGUCACCUCGAAGAAGAUGUGCAAAUACGAACGGGGUGACUCAAAAGGCUUAAUAGUUCCACGGACCAUCAAAUUUGCUGAACUGUUGGACCGUGUGCAUCAGAUUGGUAAUACAAACAGCAGGGAAGACAAGGUUUGCUUAAAAUUCUCAGUUUUGGUGGCCUCGAAUGAGUGGAAGCACAUAAAGAUUGAGGACUAUGAUGAUGUCAAUUUUUUUAUGAAGUACAAUUCUGAGGUAACACCUUCAAAACUAGCUCUCUUACUCGUGAGUAUAGAAGAUAAAGGACUGACAAAUGAUGUAGUUCAUAGUAUGCAUAUCACGACAGAUAGUAGUCGGUUGCCAUUGUUGAAAACAAUGAAGUAACUUGGAAUAAUACAAAUGUCAUUGAUGUGGGUGGUGAAGUAGGGAAAGAUUUUAUGGAUAUGAUUGAUUUUAGCGAGGUGGAGGAGAUGCAUGGUGGUGAUAAUGAUACUGAAAGAAAUGAAGUGUCAGUGUACUCUGCCCCUCCUAAUUUGGGCUGCUUGAACACAGCUGCCCAGUUGCCAAUAAUGCGUUUAGGAGGAGAAUCUGAACCCACUCGUCAACAUUAUUGGAGUCAAAUGGGUGAAUAAAAUCGGUACAAUGCAGCCGGUGUAAAUGAUGAAGAAGUAUAUUUGGACAGCGGGUUUUCACGAAGUGAUUGGAAUCUGAAAAUUUCAGUUGGGCAAAUUUUCUCCAGUAAGAAAGCAUUGUUGACGGAGUUACGGUUGACGGCAUUAAGAGGCCACUUUGAAUUUAAGGUGCAAUUCUCUUGUAAAAAUAAUAUUCCAUUGCGCAAUGUAUCUUAGACAAUAUGAUUUGUGUUGCUUUGGUACGUCAUGUAAACUCUACUUUUAUUUGUGGUGAGUUUCGUGUUAUGUUGAAUGGGAAUUCUUUUAAAUUUGCAUAAUUUGGGUUGCAUUGCUACAGCAUGCUGUAUUGCUGACAGAUUGCUAUUAUAUUGAACUUUUAUUGUACUGGUAUUGCUUCCAGAUUGCUAUUAUAAUUUGAGUGCGAAAUUAAAGGGACUGGAAUGUAAUUCCAAAUGGAUCCAAAACAUUAAAGUUCUUAGAAUUCCUAUAUUACAUAGUUACUGUGAUACUCCGACUAUACCUUCUUUUCUGAUUACAAAUUCGGCCGAUGCAUAGGCCAGAUGUGGGGCAAAUACAAGGUGAAAUGUCCUAUGUGUUUGACUACAUAUACUUGUUGAAGGAGCAUUACGAAUGUUAACCUCAAUAGAUUGCUCAUGUCUUGUCAAGAACAAUCUUGAAUUUAUGCAAUGUGCCAAGCCAGUCCCAAAGCUGGACUCACCCGUCUGCCUGAUGUGUCCAGGGACUCCAAGUUUCCCAACCUCCCCCCAUUCACUUUAUCAUGUGGCCCAAUAAAAUCCACCACUUGGUUGGUGACAACCACCGCCAACCCAAACUUAUUUGCUAAACCCUUCAAUGUCCCAGAUAUGUUGAAGAAGAAAUUCAGUCCGUUGCAAUCUAGACAAUAACAAGCAAUAAACAAUCAGAACUUAUCAACAGCCUAUUAUAGGAUAUUAAGUGAAAAAUAAACAAAAAAUACAGAGCAUAAACAAAACCCCAACUAUUUACAGCUGACCUACUAAUUCAAUAGCUCAAAGCCACGUCUCAAGACACCCAGUACUCUACCACUCCUGCAUAAUAUAAUAUCUAAAGACACAUCUCAACACACUAGAUAAUCAUGAGACAGCUUCAGCUAGAAUGGGAAUGUCCGGUAGCACAAGCCUAAUUGAGAACAAUUCAAGACUAACGAUAGAAAUCUAUCUGACUAGAAAGAGUUUUAAAAAACAAGAAGACAUCGGGAAAGAAUUGAUUGACUUCAAGGUAUAAUGUAAUGGAACAUCCUAUGAAUUAGUGGCAACCACAAUAAUGACUCCACUAUGGCCCUCAUUUCAAAUGUAAGAAAAUGAAUGAAAUUGGCACCAUCCCUUCAGUUUUUUCUUAACAAAAUAAGAGGUCUGUAUGUAUUCUCUGUUUUAUCGAUAUCAAAGAUAAAUUAAUAAAUAAACCAUCAAAACUGUAUAAAAUGUUUGUAAGACAUGUACAAUUACAAAAUUAUAAGUUCUCCUCAGAAACAAAGUUCUCUAAGUAUCCAUACACAAACAAGAAAAACAAAAGCUUAAAGAAUUAGCUUAUAGCAAAAUCAAUGUUCCAAUUUCUCUAAACCACACCUUCUGGUGGUAGGUUCCCAUCUUCACUCAUUUCCCGUUUUCUUUUAAGCAGACAAUGAUCAAGCACAAAAGAGCAAACUUUUAAAGAACUCAUAUCACACCACAUGUAGUUCUAAAGAAAACUUAUCCAUAUCCAAUAUGCAAGCCCUAAAGUUAGUAAACAAAAUUAUAAAAAAAAUGUCAAAUUAACAAGCAUUAUUCUCAAACAAAAAGUAUGAUAUGGUUGGGAGUUUACAAGUUCAAAAUGAUAUACACAGGUUAAUUGUCUUAGACUUUAGAUAUCAUCUUCAACAAAGAAAAUACAUACCGAUUAGACUUGUAAGAAGGUUAAAUGCAAUGGUCAUAAAGACCCAUAGUAAGCCACCAAAUACCAAUCAAUAACUGCUACAAAAACCAUAAUAAAACCAUAAUAAACUAAAAAUACAACAGCACUAAAAUGCCAACACAACAUCACUACAUUAGCAAUACACUAGCAAAAAAAACAACAAUACGACAUCAAUAGCAACAGCAAAACAACAGCAGUGCAAGCAUCAGUCCACAAAGAACAAACCCAUUCACUGUUUCAAACAAGGAAUCAUCAUACUAAGAUCAUUUCAGAGAAACCCCAAAACCAAUUUAAGUGAAACCCCUAAACCAAUUUCAGAGAAACCUAUAAACCUUCAACCAAUUUCGAACAAACCCCUGAACCAAUUUCAUAGAAAUGCAUAAACCCUAAACCAACUUCAGAGAAACCCUUAAACUGUAAGAAAAUGACGAUGAACAGUACUUGUUCAAGGUGAACGAUGGAGUUGAGCUUCGAUGAACAGAUUUCGCUGGGAGAGGAAGAGAGAAGAGAGAGUCAAACUGAGCGACGAGAGAUUGAGAGCUGAGCGACGAGAGAGUGAGAGCUGAUCGACAAGAGAUGAGAGAGUGAGAGCAAAGCGACGAGAGAGUGAAGAGAAACUAAGAGACGGAGCCAAGAGAGAGAGCUGAGAGAGAACUUCAGCAAAAGUGAUAUGUGUGCAAUAAGGGGACAAUAAAUAUAUAUUUAUAGGUUAUAGUUCCAAAUUUUUUUAAAAAGGGUGGUAUUUUCAGUUACAAUUAUAAAAAUGGUGUCAUUUAGAGCUAUUUCCCAAGUUAAUUAAAUAUUAAUCAGAUGGGUCCCCAAUACCUGAAGCAGUAGGCAAUGAUGGUUUGUAAUUUCUUUCCCGAAGAUAUUAUGACAUGAGUUAAAGUUAAAUUUUACAAGAACAUUGUGAUAUAGUGAAUUUUACACUACACAACGUUGUAGGGUCAGAACAGCCAGUACUUUACAAAAUUUACUACUGGACUUGUAUGUCGGUUGCAUUGCAUAUCUUGUAGAAGUAUGCCAAUGCUCAACCAGAAUAAUAAUAAGCUACAAUUCUCUAUGAAGUCUGUUAUAAUCAUUUAGCGUCCUUCGAGAACAUUCAUAACUCUAGCUGGGUGACAACUUUUCAGUUAUUUUGAGAAUUUAAAAUGAUCCUUGUAAUGAAGUUUUGCAAUUUUUUUGUAAUCAAGGAAUGCAUGGACAAUGUCCUUGUUUCAUGGAGCUCAAAGAAGCAGAAGACUGUUUCUAGAUCAAGCUCGGAAGCCGAAUAUUGUCAGCUUGCAUAUACAGUCGCCGAAUUAUUAUGGUUGCGUUCCUUGUUUUGCGAUUUGUCUCUUUCGUUGCCACCACCAAUUAUCUGGUGUGACAAUGUAUCUUCUAUUUCAUUGGCGUCAAAUCCGAUUUUUCAUUCCUGAACGAAACAUUUGGAGGUUGAUUAUCAUUAUGUUUAGGAAAAAGUUAGGGGUGACCUGGUUGUAAACUAUGUUUGUUCUCAAGACUAGACUACGGAUUUAUUUACCAAAGGUCUCAGUUCAGCUUGUGGGGAAUGUUAGACCAAGUUCAAGUCAAGAGCAAAUUGAUAUUGAUAAGUCAGUUAUGAAUUUGAAUUUGAAUAGUUGAUAUGCCGAGGUAGUUCCUUCUCAUUCGAAUGUCACGGCCUGCAUAUUGAAGGCUCAACCCAAUAAUUAUUAGGCCAACCUAGAGAAUCCAUUUAUGAAGGUCAAGCCCCACAAGAGAAGCUCAAGGCCCGGCCCGUCAGAUAGAUGAUUCUAGAUCUCUUAGCCCACAUGUCUAGAUUCAAUGUACAGUAGUAGGUAGAUUUCGGAUCAUUAGAUUGUUUCGAUCCUAGCCCUUCGUUGUGGUGGUAGGUGAGCUAGGAUCUAUAUAUAAGGAGGAUGUCUCAUUGUAUAUCUUCACCUCUUAACUUGUAAAGCAUUGAGUAGCAAUACAAGCAUAUAUUCCCCCAAAUUUUCUUGAGCGUUCUUGAGUUCUUAUCAUUAUUGCUCUUGUUCUUGUGUUCUUGCUUGAUUCAAUCUUAUUUUGUAGGAAGGAAGGCUGACUUAGCUUGUUCGAGAAGCGAUCAAGUCUAAGGCCGCACGGAAGAAAGACUUUGAAAAAGUCAUCCCGUGAUAGUUGGUAUCAGAGCGAAAGCUCGAAUCAUUCGAAGAAGCAUGUCGAAGAGCGGAACCGAUGGGGAGGUUGAUAUGUCCAAGGUCACCUUAGCAAACCUUUUGAGGUACACACUGAUGCAUUAGAUGUUGCUAUUGGUGGUGUACUCAUGCAGGAUGGACACCUAUUGGCUUUCGAGAGCAGGAAGCUCAAUGACACUGAGCAGAGGUAUACCAUUCAAGAGAAGGAGAUGACAGCCGUAGUGCACUGCUUGAGGAGUUGGAGGCAAUACUUGCUUGGUUCUCGGUUCGUGGUCAAUACUAACAAUGUUGCCACAAGUUACUUUUAGUCCCAACAGAAGUUGUCACCUAAACAGGCUAGGUGACAAGAUUUCUUGGCCGAGUUCAACUACAAAUUGAAGUACAAGCAAGGGAAGACGAAUGUCACCGCAGAUGCCUUAUGUUUGAAGGCCGCACUAGCAGCUGUUGUACAACCUCAAAGUUAUCUCAUGAUACGAGAUGGCUUGUUGCAUGACCCCCAAGCCAAAAUUCUGUUAGAGCUUGUCAAAUAUGGGAAGAUAAGAAGAUUUGGGCUAGAUGAUGGUGUUCUUUAUGCAACAGGGAAGAGAAUCUAUGUUCCAAGAUAGGACAAUCUGAGGCCAGAGCUAAAGUGGGCGGGACAUCCAGACACUCAUCGAACUUUAGCAUUGAUGAGUGAAGCUUACUACUGGUCACAGAUGCGGGAAGAUGUAGACUCGUUCGUGCGGACUUGCCUGGUAUGCCGACAAGACAAGACAUUGCAGAAGCAGCCGGUGGGUUGCUAAAGUCACUUCUUGUUCCAACCAGACCAUGGGAGAGUUUGUCCGUGGACUUCAUCAUGAGUCUAUCCAAGUCGGAAGGGUAUGACUCAAUUUUGGUGGUGGUCAACAGGUUCACCGAGUAUGCUGGUGAAGUAUUGGGGGAUCCCCAAGAGUGACCAUGACUCUCACUUCACUGGUAAACUUUGGACGGAGCUCUUCAGGCUACUUGGCUCACAAUUAAACUUCUUUACCAGCUUUUACCCACAGACAGAUGGUCAGACUUAUUGGAGUUAUACUUGAGGCACUAUGUAAGUGCCAACCAACGAGAUUGGGCAAAGUUGUUGGAUGUUGCUCAGUUCUCGUACAACUUGCAGCGAUUGGAGUAGACAGGGUCAAGUCUUUUUGAGUUGGCAACGGGACAAUAACCUGUGACACCGAACACAGUGGUGUUAGGCUACACGGGAAGUAGCCCUGUUGCAUACAAGAGGGCCAAGGACUGACAUGUGACUAAUGAGCUAGCUCGGGCUUAAUUGGAGAAGGAAACUCGGAAGCAUCGGCGAGAUGUUGUGUUCAAACUAGGUGAUUUGGUUUUUGUGAAGCUCAGCCCCUCUCAACACAAGUCUACUAGAAAGGUACACAAGGCGUUGCUGAGGAGAUAUGAGGGUCCGUUUUCUAUCCUUUGAACAGUGGGAAGAGGUGCUUACCGUGUAGAACUACCACGAGGAGUCAAGUCAUGGGGAGUCUCAACGAGCUCCGCUUUUAAUGGUGACUUCAUUUGACAGAGAGGUUAUGUGCAUCAUGGCCAAGCGUGAGGUGCGAAGCAAAGGUAUACCGAGGUACUUUGAGUACUUUGUCAAAUGGAAGGGCCUGCCAGAGUUCGAAGAUAAUUGGGAGAAAGAGGAGUCCUUGUGGCAGUUCAAGGACCACAUCGAAGCAUUAGAACGAGAAGGAACUGCCUUGGCGACGAGGACGUCACCAAAUUAGGUGGGGGAGAAUGUCACUACCCGCAUGUUGAAGGCUCAACCGAACAACUAUUGGGCCAACCUAGAGGAUCAAUUUGUGAAGGUCAAGCCCCAGAAGAGAAGGUUAAGGCCCGGCCCGUUGAAUGGAUCAUUCUAGAUCUCUUAGCCUACAUGUCUAGAUUUAAUGUACAAUAUUAGGUAGAUUUCGGAUCAUUAGAUUGUUUCGAUCUUGGCCAUUCAUUGUAGUGGUAGGUGAGCUAGGAUCUCUACAUAAGGAGGAUGUCUCAUUGUACAUCCUCACCCCUUAACUUGUAAAAUAUUGAGUAGGAAUACAAGCAUAUAUUCUCCCAAACUCUCUUGAGCGUUCAUGAGUGUUCUUAUUGUUCUUACUCUUGUUCUUGUGUUCUUGCUUGGUUCGAUCUUAUUUUGUAGGAAAGCUGACUUAGCUUGUUCGAGAGACGAUCAAGUCAAAGGCCGCAUAAAAGGAAUACUCUGAAAAAGUCAUCUUGUGACACUUGAUGGGUUUAAGAAAGUAAGCAAAUAGACAGCAGGUUUAGAUUUGCCAACUAAAUGAAGCACCUCUACUGUUGGACUGUCAAUGGUCUUUAUAUAAUACUAUUUCUAGGCCCACUUGCCAAUUGCCCCCGAAAAAGACUUUCUUUCCCUUCUUUUAAUAAAUAAUCAAUCUUUAUUUCUUUUGCAGAAAUGUUAAGCUUAUGCUCCUAGAUACGAACAUAUCACAGUUUUUCUUGUCAAGAGCAUAGAACACUUAAAUUUAUCUAAUACAUGUGAUUUAUGUGAUGGUGAUAACUUUUCUUAUUGUUUUAACUUGGAUUUUGUUCAACAUCAACAUGUCCCACAUCAGAGGAUAUAACCCCAGUCUUCUAUGGCGGCAAAUUAAACUGUGAUGCUGAAGAGGUCUACACGUUAUUUCGAUUUUUUUUCCAUGGCUACAGAUUAUUUGAUAUUUUUGCUAAUUUGUUUAUGUUAUUAAUAAUUGAAGAAACAUGCAUAAAUGAAGAACCCAGAUCAUUUUGGUCCAAAUAAGCUCAACCAAGCCUUAUCUCUUGGUUCCUCAGUAAAUUUUCCAACUUUUUGAUGAUGGGUUAUAGGAAAUUUGAUCUGUUCAUCUGGGUUUUAUCAGUCUUGUGUUUGGGAUGGUUGUGUAGUGGAUUUAAUCCUGCAGACAUUUACCUUAUAGACUGUGGAUCGCCUGCCAAUACUUCAGUGGGUAACCGUGUCUAUGUAGCAGAUAAUUUGGCUUCAAAAUUUCUUUCAACCCCAAAAGAUGUUGUUGCCAAUAUUUCUUUGAAAUCAAUCACUUCCUUUGAUGAUUCGCCGCUGUAUCAAACGGCAAGAAUCUUUACUGAAUCCUCAAAGUACACCUUUUCCAUAAGCCAGAGUGGGAGACACUGGAUCCGCCUUUACUUCUAUCCAUUUGUUUUUGGUGGUUACGAUUUGAGCAAAGCGAAGUUCUCUGUUUCCACCCAAAACCAUGUUCUCCUUGGUGAUUUCAGUGUUCAAAACGCUUCUCUUGUCAAAGAAUUUUCAGUAAAUGUAACUUCAGAUAGCCUUGUUAUUACCUUCACCCCUUCCAACAAUUCAUUUGCAUUCUUAAAUGCCAUAGAAGUUGUUUCAGUCCCCA
This 22496-nucleotide long non-coding RNA is filed under the name Prunus persica (peach). RNAcentral's name for it is "long non-coding RNA (PPER_LNC005681)". The record is from RNAcentral. Lineage: Eukaryota; Viridiplantae; Streptophyta; Magnoliopsida; Rosales; Rosaceae.